RNAcentral lists this ribosomal RNA (465 nucleotides) under Vreelandella stevensii. RNAcentral describes it as "partial 16S ribosomal RNA". It matches the Rfam family "Bacterial small subunit ribosomal RNA", at positions 338 to 795 of the family's 1533-position model. The record is from RNAcentral. Lineage: Bacteria; Pseudomonadati; Pseudomonadota; Gammaproteobacteria; Oceanospirillales; Halomonadaceae.
CCUACGGGCGGCAGCAGUGGGGAAUAUUGGACAAUGGGCGAAAGCCUGAUCCAGCCAUGCCGCGUGUGUGAAGAAGGCCUUCGGGUUGUAAAGCACUUUCAGUGGGGAAGAAAGCCUUGGGGCUAAUACCCUCGAGGAAGGACAUCACCCACAGAAGAAGCACCGGCUAACUCCGUGCCAGCAGCCGCGGUAAUACGGAGGGUGCGAGCGUUAAUCGGAAUUACUGGGCGUAAGGCGCGCGUAGGCGGUCUGAUAAGCCGGUUGUGAAAGCCCCGGGCUCAACCUGGGAACGGCAUCCGGAACUGUCAGGCUAGAGUGCAGGAGAGGAAGGUAGAAUUCCCGGUGUAGCGGUGAAAUGCGUAGAGAUCGGGAGGAAUACCAGUGGCGAAGGCGGCCUUCUGGACUGACACUGACGCUGAGGUGCGAAAGCGUGGGUAGCAAACAGGAUUAGAUACCCCUGUAGUC